Molecule: non-coding RNA, 145 nt
Organism: Alternaria sp. Ai002NY15
Lineage: Eukaryota; Fungi; Ascomycota; Dothideomycetes; Pleosporales; Pleosporaceae
Source: the annotation of a GenBank genome assembly
GACUCUCUGGCGCAACGGUAGCGCAUCACGCUUCUAUUCAAGCGCCGCUUUCUCUCGGAUGCUCGUGGGGGUCAAACUCCACGACUGAGGAUGGCGAUCACGACUUGAACCGUGAAGGUUAUGAGUUCGACUCUCAUGGGAGUUA